This is a long non-coding RNA of Bactrocera tryoni, 533 nucleotides long. RefSeq lists it as uncharacterized. The transcript is spliced from 2 exons. The record is from RefSeq and is a predicted model, not a curated record. NCBI's taxonomy places the organism in Eukaryota, Metazoa, Arthropoda, Insecta, Diptera, Tephritidae.
UCAGCUGAUCUUUCAUUCGGAAUUUUUGUUUUCAUUUCAAAAGUGCCAAACAAACUAAAUGAAAUGAGCAGUGAUGAAGAAAUUGAUAAAUUAUUCCUUAAUAUUAUAGCAUUAUAUGCUAAAAAAAGCAAUUCAAGCGAACUAGGCGAUGUCGUGUCCAUUCUAUUAAUGUUAAUAGGUUCCAAAACGGAUACCAUCAAAAAACGUUCCUGAAAAUGAAAGAUAUGGAUGAACAAGCAUUGUUUGCCCAUAGAAGAAUGAAUAGGAAGUUGUAUGAUACUUUUUUAAAGUUAAUGGCACCUUAAAUGUGUAAAUUCAAGGAACAAAUCCAUGCCGAAGAGCGUUUGUCCCUCACACUUCUGUACUUAGCAUACGGAAUUCCUUUCAAAAAAUUAGCAUGGAGCUACAAAAUCGGAAAGACCACUUUGAGAAACAUAGUGCUGGAGACAUGUGAGGCUAUUUGGGAAAUCCAAUUUAUCUGAGUGAACCCACGCAACAACAGUAUAAAGAGAUCACGACCGAAUUUGCGCAAA